CCAUCAGAUUUUAUAAACCUAAAAAAAACCUUCUUCAUCUUCAACCUUAAGACCCUAAGAGACCUAAACCCCUCUCAGCCGUUCCAUGUUCUUCACCUCACAACCAAGAAAAUUCCUUCAACACCAAUCAACCAACCAACCUAAUUCCUCCUAAGCUAAGGAAGCAGUCGUAGCCCUCCCCCCUCCCCCCCCCCCACACACAAAAAAACCCCAUUCCCUUCAACAUCUGAUCUUCCUCACAAAUGAAAAGGGCACCUUAGUAUUUCCUGAACCACCACCCUAAUCUCUAAGACCAGACCCAAAAUUGGCCAUGAACCAUAAGAGAAGAAAGAGGUAGCUGAAAAAUCCCUUCCUCUGGGCCUACUACUGCCUCCAAUUUUUCAAAAUGAACGACCCUCGAACUAUAAUUUUCCAACAUUCAAACACACGCACACACGGACAAAGUAAAGAACGGAAUUCCUCCAAGAGCCGCUCGAGUCCCUUUCCCCAUUUCUCCAGCUCUCGUCCUUUCUAUGAUUGCCGCUGCCGUAUGUGGUGACCGGUGACGGCCAUGACUGUUGUUGCGGCUGAAAUCUGUUUUUGCCGAGUGGUAUCGAAAUCGGGGCAUUGAAGUCGUUUGAGUUCGUAGUCUGAGGUUUCCGGACAGAUUUGCAGUUCCCAUUGCUUCUCCCUGUUUAUGAUCGAGUAUCAUUGUUUUGGGGACUAUCUCUAAUGCAAAACAGAAGUGGAAUUUCGUCUCUACAUUAAGGUCCAUUUUUUUACUACUUUGCUAUUUCAUUUCUAACUAAUGAUGUUUGUUUGCCUCUUAUGCUUUUUUUUCUGUUUUGUACGAGUACUUCUCAUGUGUAAUGUGAUGGGUGUAUCGUAUUUGAUUAUUAUUAGUUUAAUAUAUCAAGGUAGCAAGGUAGUUGUUAGAAUUGAUCAAAAAAUUUAUUUGAUUGAAUCGAUCUAGGAAAACCUGUAUAAUUGAUGUUGAAUACAUAUUAGUUAGAGGAAACAAUGGAUAGUGGGUUUGGGAAUUCAAAGUAAAAGAAUUGCUUCAUUAAUUUGAUCGCCAGGAGCAUAUUUAGGCCGUCAGUUGGGUAGGCAAGCCGUAUGAUUUUUGUUAGUUUUGAGGUGAUAGGUCGUUCCCUUAGUUAUAUUUAUCCGGGUAAUGCCCCGAAGUAUUUUUAUAUAUUUUAUUCCGGGGAAUGCCCCGUAGUAUUCUGUAAUUGGAGGCCGAAAGCGAACUCGUAGUACUUUUAUUCUUAUUUCAAUUUUAUUUUUAUCUUUCUUUUAUUAAGUGGAAAGAUCUUGAGCCUCUUUUGAUUGUUUAUUUUCUUUUUGUGUGUUUUACCUCGAUUUAAAUAUUUUAAAAGCCAACUAGAUCGGGUAUGUAACUGUGACUUUUAUGGGACUCGGGAAAUGCCUAACACAUUCUCCCCGAGUCAAAUGAACCCCCUUAUCUAGAAUUUCUGGCGCAGACUUAGUUUUAGAGUCCCAAGUGUUUUAAAAGGGAAAAUUGUUUUUAAACGGUGACCUAACACACCGAAACCAAAUGUCAGGUGACGACUCUGAAAUAUCUUUUAAAACACAAUUUUGUCACUUUUCAAAUUGAAAACCCUUUUGAGCUUCAAAAUCUUUUUAUUAUUUUAAAAGGGUUAAGUGAGGGUGAAAAAAGGGGUGUGACAGAAUUAUUAUUUGUGUUUAUUAUAUUUGUGAUUUCGGAUUUAGGUUGUGAUUCCGUUCACUCGUCUGUGUCCUUAUUAUGGUAUUCCGCUGUUACUUGUUAUUUCCUUCCUUAUUGUAAAUUUCAGUAUUGUUAGCCAUAUCGCGUAGUCUUUAUGUAGAUAUCAUGUUUUGUUGUUCCUAUACUUAUACUUGUCAGAUUAUUAAACCGAUAGGUAUCUUGACUGUUCCUCGUCGCUACUCCACCGAGGUUAGCCUUGAUACUUAAUGGGCACCGCUAUGGUGUGCUCAUACUACACUUAUGUAGAUUUUUUUAUACACAUCCAGGUAAUUGUUUGUUAGUAGCUAUACGGAUCGUUGCUGUGGAGACUCAAGGUAAAUCUGUUGCUGCAUUCGCAGGCUUCGGAGUCACCUUCCUAAUUUUGUAUUCACACUGUUUUACUUAUUUCCAAACAAUUGUAUUUAGAAGUUGUUGUAAACUAUGUAGAGCUUAUAACUUGUACUUUCGGUUUUGGAAAAUUGUAAAUUCUAUAAAGAUUUCUAUAUCGAGACUGUUAGUCUUUCUUAUUAUUGUUGAUAUUCAGUAAAUGUUAGGCUUACCUAGUCCAUAAGACUAGGCGCCAUUACGAUACCCAACAGAGGGGAAAUUGGGUCGUGACAGGUGUUUGUAUUGGCUUUUAAGCUAGUCAAAUUAACUUUUAAGCUCUUUUUAGCUUCUUUUUUUCGUUUUUGGCAAAGUUAAAAAGUGAUUAAAAUAAGUUAA
This 2431-nucleotide long non-coding RNA is filed under the name Nicotiana tabacum (common tobacco). Its description in RNAcentral is "long non-coding RNA (NTAB_LNC011980)". The record is from RNAcentral. Lineage: Eukaryota; Viridiplantae; Streptophyta; Magnoliopsida; Solanales; Solanaceae.